UUAGUUUUACCCUACUGACAAAGUAGAUACUGCGACAGUAGUCGAAGUUAGUACGAGAGGAACACUUCGUCCAGAUACUUGGUUAAUGCCGUUGUCUGAAAAGACAGUACGGCGAAGCUACCAUCUGCUGGAUUACGGCUGAACGCCUCUAAGCCGGAAUCCAUGCUGGAUAAGCAGUGUUGUACACCGUGCUCAAUGCUACAAGAAAAAGGCUAGGUCAGGCUUCGGCCUGACCAAAAUUCAAGCUGCUAUACCUCUGGCUGCAUUGACUUGUGGUCAGAGUGUAUGGUGAUCAUAGCAAUUGCAAGUAUUGGGCUCGAUAAAUCCUUUGAAGACGACUUAAUUGCAUCCGGGUAUUGUAAGUGUUGAGAGUAGGCUUAGUCUUACGAUCCACUGAGAUUCAUCCCGUGUUGCGCCGAUUUGU
Molecule: non-coding RNA, 424 nt
Organism: Perkinsus marinus ATCC 50983
Lineage: Eukaryota; Perkinsozoa; Perkinsida; Perkinsidae
Source: Rfam